GAAGCCACCAAUGGAGUCCCGGAAUCUCUAUUACGUAACAGUCUCGGCAGUGCGGGAGAUUGUUAGCCCCUAGAGUAGGUAGUCUUUUCUCUGGAGUUUAAGCUCCGUGAGAGUAGGAAGUACUUCUAAAUUUGUAUUCUCAGCACUCUGCGCCAUGCUUGAGAAACAUUCGGGGAGGGGGGCAAUAACAAACUCUUUGUUUUAAUCAGCCAAUAAACAGUUAUUAAGGCCUUACUAUUUGCCUGCCACUAGGCUAAGCGCUGGUUGGUUAACAAAGGCGGGGCACGGUUCCAGCUUUCCCGAAGCUCGCAGCCUAAUUCAGUAAUCCCUUUAUUACAUUAGUGUCACGUCCCAAUAACACUUCCACUCCACAAAGAAAGGCAAAAGACAGUCAUUCCUCUCGAGGAACUCCAUAUACUAUCCUAGGAGAUGGGUUGGUUCGUUGCUGUGCUUGAUAUUGGAAGAGGACCAAACGGAUACCGCUAUUUCGGGAUCAAUGUACGCUGCCUCGGGCUUGGGCUGAUCUGACCCACCGGAGCUCCGAAGCUCCCAAAGAGUCCAUAAGAACAUCUGAGGGAGCGAUGACUCCAAUUUUGCGCUUCUCGACCUCUUCGGAGAUAGGCAAAGCAGGCAAUUCUGCUUUGCUCAUAAAGCGAGCACACAUCGCCCGCCCGCCAGGCAGGACGGUCCUGGGAGAGGGUCUUCAGCGGGAUCCAAGUUCUUGCAGAGAGACUGGAGCUUCCCGGUAUACUUCUGACCCCCUGUGAGCACUUGCUUUGGAUUGUGAAGACAGGAUCACCUCUCCUUUGUCUGCCUUUGAAAUUGAAUCAACAAAAGAUUGAACACCUUACUUGGUGCUAUGUGAGAAGCCAGCAAGAUACUUGGAAAGCUCCACCAUUUUUUAAACUCAGAAACUUGUGAAUUCUUUUAAGAGUUCACACCCUCAGAAACUGUUAAAUCAGGAAAUGUGAACCUUUUUGAAGAGAAAUUGACCUUCAGAAGGUGAGAAGUUGAUCCCACUGAUACAGUGCUAGACAAUUUGGAAACUGUGAUUGGCCCCUGUAAAGAGGGGAGGAGACAAGAAGUCACCAUAAAAGCAAGCCCGAAUUCCUUCAGAGCAGAUGGUUUUUAAGAAUAGUCUGAAGAGAUUGUCUUCUGGAGAUAGUCUUCUGACUGGGGAAGUCUUUGAGGAAGCUUUGCUGGAGACUGUGGCUUGGAUUGUGGGUUUAGAACUUGGCUUCCACUUGGACUCUGACUCCUGGACUACCUUGGAAUAGAGGCUCCUGGAGCAGCUAUGUAAAAUCAGUGGAUGGAAUCAGGAGGACCUGGGUUCAGAGAUGGUCCCAGAUACUACUUAGCAGCGUGACCUCGGGCAAGUAAGUUUACCUCUAUUGCCUAGUUCUAAUGCUCUUCUGCCUUAGAGCACCUUCUGAGACAGAAGGUAAGGGUUAAAAAAUUUCUACAUAAUCUCUAUAAAUAUUUGACUCCCACUCCUCCACCUUACCCCAGACAGGGGAGGGAGGAAGCACUCUCAUUGGGCUGCUGGGCAGAGGGGAAGGUCAUGUGAGAAAUGUCCUCAGGCCCAUGGAGAGGGGAGCAGCCCCCUCUAGCACAUGUGCCAUAGUUUGCCAACAUGGACAUCCAGUAUUAGAUAAAUGCUGUACAUCUAUACCUCUGUCUCUCCACGUCCAAAUUCUCUCUUGAACUGGAGUUGUUGUUGACUGUAUUGACUGAUG
This is a long non-coding RNA of Monodelphis domestica (gray short-tailed opossum), 1736 nucleotides long. RefSeq lists it as uncharacterized. The record is from RefSeq and is a predicted model, not a curated record. NCBI's taxonomy places the organism in Eukaryota, Metazoa, Chordata, Mammalia, Didelphimorphia, Didelphidae.